This 93-nucleotide small nucleolar RNA is filed under the name Theobroma cacao (cacao). RNAcentral's name for it is "Small nucleolar RNA snoR8a". It matches the Rfam family "Small nucleolar RNA snoR8a". The record is from Rfam by way of RNAcentral. Lineage: Eukaryota; Viridiplantae; Streptophyta; Magnoliopsida; Malvales; Malvaceae.
GAGUUAGCGAUGAUUAUAAAAAUAAUUCAUCGUUCUAACUUAUUUAAUUUUGACAUGACAAACCUUUUAUUACAAUCAUAAAAUUUGAGCUCC